Molecule: ribosomal RNA, 495 nt
Filed under: uncultured bacterium
Lineage: Bacteria
Description: bacterial SSU rRNA
Rfam family: Bacterial small subunit ribosomal RNA
Source: RNAcentral
CGGCGUGCCUAACACAUGCAAGUCGAACGGAGUAUAUCGCUGCAGAGAUUUCGGUCGAAGCUUGAGUAUACUUAGUGGCGGACGGGUGAGUAACGCGUGGGCAACCUGCCUCAUACUGGGGGAUAGCAGGUUGGAAACGACUGAUAAUACCGCAUAAGCGCACAGCAUCGCAUGAUGCAGUGUGAAAAACUCCGGUGGUAUGAGAUGGGCCCGCGUCAGAUUAGCCAGUUGGCAGGGUAACGGCCUACCAAAGCGACGAUCUGUAGCCGGCCUGAGAGGGCGGACGGCCACAUUGGGACUGAGACACGGCCCAAACUCCUACGGGAGGCAGCAGUGGGGGAUAUUGCACAAUGGAGGAAACUCUGAUGCAGCGACGCCGCGUGAAGUGAAGAAGUAUUUCGGUAUGUAAAGCUCUAUCAGCAGGGAAGAAAGACUCGCAAGAGAGAUGACGGUACCUGACUAAGAAGCCCCGGCUAACUACGUGCCAGCCGCCGC